ACUAAGCGUACACGGUGGAUGCCCUGGCAGUCAGAGGCGAUGAAGGACGUGCUAAUCUGCGAUAAGCGUCGGUAAGGUGAUAUGAACCGUUAUAACCGGCGAUUUCCGAAUGGGGAAACCCAGUGUGUUUCGACACACUAUCAUUAACUGAAUCCAUAGGUUAAUGAGGCGAACCGGGGGAACUGAAACAUCUAAGUACCCCGAGGAAAAGAAAUCAACCGAGAUUCCCCCAGUAGCGGCGAGCGAACGGGGAGCAGCCCAGAGCCUGAAUCAGUGUGUGUGUUAGUGGAAGCGUCUGGAAAGGCGCGCGAUACAGGGUGACAGCCCCGUACACAAAAAUGCACAUAUUGUGAGCUCGAUGAGUAGGGCGGGACACGUGGUAUCCUGUCUGAAUAUGGGGGGACCAUCCUCCAAGGCUAAAUACUCCUGACUGACCGAUAGUGAACCAGUACCGUGAGGGAAAGGCGAAAAGAACCCCGGCGAGGGGAGUGAAAAAGAACCUGAAACCGUGUACGUACAAGCAGUGGGAGCACGCUUAGGCGUGUGACUGCGUACCUUUUGUAUAAUGGGUCAGCGACUUAUAUUCUGUAGCAAGGUUAACCGAAUAGGGGAGCCGAAGGGAAACCGAGUCUUAACUGGGCGUUAAGUUGCAGGGUAUAGACCCGAAACCCGGUGAUCUAGCCAUGGGCAGGUUGAAGGUUGGGUAACACUAACUGGAGGACCGAACCGACUAAUGUUGAAAAAUUAGCGGAUGACUUGUGGCUGGGGGUGAAAGGCCAAUCAAACCGGGAGAUAGCUGGUUCUCCCCGAAAGCUAUUUAGGUAGCGCCUCGUGAAUUCAUCUCCGGGGGUAGAGCACUGUUUCGGCAAGGGGGUCAUCCCGACUUACCAACCCGAUGCAAACUGCGAAUACCGGAGAAUGUUAUCACGGGAGACACACGGCGGGUGCUAACGUCCGUCGUGAAGAGGGAAACAACCCAGACCGCCAGCUAAGGUCCCAAAGUCAUGGUUAAGUGGGAAACGAUGUGGGAAGGCCCAGACAGCCAGGAUGUUGGCUUAGAAGCAGCCAUCAUUUAAAGAAAGCGUAAUAGCUCACUGGUCGAGUCGGCCUGCGCGGAAGAUGUAACGGGGCUAAACCAUGCACCGAAGCUGCGGCAGCGACGCUUAUGCGUUGUUGGGUAGGGGAGCGUUCUGUAAGCCUGCGAAGGUGUGCUGUGAGGCAUGCUGGAGGUAUCAGAAGUGCGAAUGCUGACAUAAGUAACGAUAAAGCGGGUGAAAAGCCCGCUCGCCGGAAGACCAAGGGUUCCUGUCCAACGUUAAUCGGGGCAGGGUGAGUCGACCCCUAAGGCGAGGCCGAAAGGCGUAGUCGAUGGGAAACAGGUUAAUAUUCCUGUACUUGGUGUUACUGCGAAGGGGGGACGGAGAAGGCUAUGUUGGCCGGGCGACGGUUGUCCCGGUUUAAGCGUGUAGGCUGGUUUUCCAGGCAAAUCCGGAAAAUCAAGGCUGAGGCGUGAUGACGAGGCACUACGGUGCUGAAGCAACAAAUGCCCUGCUUCCAGGAAAAGCCUCUAAGCAUCAGGUAACAUCAAAUCGUACCCCAAACCGACACAGGUGGUCAGGUAGAGAAUACCAAGGCGCUUGAGAGAACUCGGGUGAAGGAACUAGGCAAAAUGGUGCCGUAACUUCGGGAGAAGGCACGCUGAUAUGUAGGUGAAGUCCCUCGCGGAUGGAGCUGAAAUCAGUCGAAGAUACCAGCUGGCUGCAACUGUUUAUUAAAAACACAGCACUGUGCAAACACGAAAGUGGACGUAUACGGUGUGACGCCUGCCCGGUGCCGGAAGGUUAAUUGAUGGGGUCAGCGCAAGCGAAGCUCUUGAUCGAAGCCCCGGUAAACGGCGGCCGUAACUAUAACGGUCCUAAGGUAGCGAAAUUCCUUGUCGGGUAAGUUCCGACCUGCACGAAUGGCGUAAUGAUGGCCAGGCUGUCUCCACCCGAGACUCAGUGAAAUUGAACUCGCUGUGAAGAUGCAGUGUACCCGCGGCAAGACGGAAAGACCCCGUGAACCUUUACUAUAGCUUGACACUGAACAUUGAGCCUUGAUGUGUAGGAUAGGUGGGAGGCUUGGAAGUGUGGACGCCAGUCUGCAUGGAGCCGACCUUGAAAUACCACCCUUUAAUGUUUGAUGUUCUAACGUUGACCCGUAAUCCGGGUUGCGGACAGUGUCUGGUGGGUAGUUUGACUGGGGCGGUCUCCUCCUAAAGAGUAACGGAGGAGCACGAAGGUUGGCUAAUCCUGGUCGGACAUCAGGAGGUUAGUGCAAUGGCAUAAGCCAGCUUGACUGCGAGCGUGACGGCGCGAGCAGGUGCGAAAGCAGGUCAUAGUGAUCCGGUGGUUCUGAAUGGAAGGGCCAUCGCUCAACGGAUAAAAGGUACUCCGGGGAUAACAGGCUGAUACCGCCCAAGAGUUCAUAUCGACGGCGGUGUUUGGCACCUCGAUGUCGGCUCAUCACAUCCUGGGGCUGAAGUAGGUCCCAAGGGUAUGGCUGUUCGCCAUUUAAAGUGGUACGCGAGCUGGGUUUAGAACGUCGUGAGACAGUUCGGUCCCUAUCUGCCGUGGGCGCUGGAGAACUGAGGGGGGCUGCUCCUAGUACGAGAGGACCGGAGUGGACGCAUCACUGGUGUUCGGGUUGUCAUGCCAAUGGCACUGCCCGGUAGCUAAAUGCGGAAGAGAUAAGUGCUGAAAGCAUCUAAGCACGAAACUUGCCCCGAGAUGAGUUCUCCCUGACUCCUUGAGAGUCCUGAAGGAACGUUGAAGACGACGACGUUGAUAGGCCGGGUGUGUAAGCGCAGCGAUGCGUUGAGCUAACCGGUACUAAUGAACCGUGAGGCUUAACC
RNAcentral lists this ribosomal RNA (2893 nucleotides) under Escherichia coli. RNAcentral's name for it is "bacterial LSU rRNA". It matches the Rfam family "Bacterial large subunit ribosomal RNA". The record is from RNAcentral. Lineage: Bacteria; Pseudomonadati; Pseudomonadota; Gammaproteobacteria; Enterobacterales; Enterobacteriaceae.